AGGCAAGGAAAGCCUCAAGUAGUUCCUCAAAGUGACCCCGAAGCCAGAGCAUUGCAAGAAUGCAUAUUACUUGUGCGACUCCUCGCCUUGGUUCUCUGGUUGAUGGGUGAGAGGCAAAUUGCCCGCGAAUUGUUGCAGAUCCUGGAGGAGUACGACUAAUCGGUCGUGUGACAGCAAAUAUUUUUUGUUCGAUGCAAUAAACCGUGUGCUUCUCAAAAGAA
This 221-nucleotide long non-coding RNA is filed under the name Dermacentor andersoni. RNAcentral describes it as "uncharacterized LOC126544521". Lineage: Eukaryota; Metazoa; Arthropoda; Arachnida; Ixodida; Ixodidae. The record is from RNAcentral.